Long non-coding RNA from Urocitellus parryii (Arctic ground squirrel), 1914 nucleotides. NCBI's taxonomy places the organism in Eukaryota, Metazoa, Chordata, Mammalia, Rodentia, Sciuridae. The record is from Ensembl.
AGACCCGCGGGGUGCCAGAAGGUUAUUCUUGGAGCCACUGACCAAAUCCAAACCUGGGCCGAUUAGCUGUGGACACGGUGAUGUCAGGGAAGGGCCAUCUCCUUAGGAGGACGUGGGGCCACCCAGGAAAUCGGGGUGCCUUGUGCAGUCCCAGGUGGCUCUGGGGACAGUGCGUGUGUGGCUGUGUCCCUACUGAGUCCAUUCACAGGUCCCCAGGGCCUGCUCUCUGCCCUACCCACAAGGAGUCCGCCAACCACGUUAGCAAGGGCUGCCCGAGAAACCAAGGCUCAGAGAGGUUGCCCAGCUAGCUGAAGUCACACAGCAAGUGCCCAGCCGAGCUGGGAAGCUCCCCUGCUCCCUCCACCCCAGUGACAAGGUCACACAGACCCGUGACACUGGGGGGUGGCUCCCUCAGAGCCGUCACACCUACCUGCGUCUCGUGACCCCCGCACUCAUCCUCGCUGUUCCCUUUUCUUGGCAGAAGAAACCCAGAACGUGCUGUAUCUCGGCCAUUUCUGCUGGUGGUUUUCAUUAUCCACGUUCCUUCUCGGUCCAAGUUCAAGAUAAGCAGGAGCCAUUCUGCUUUCCUGGGCAGCAGGAUCUGAGCCGGAGAUGGGAUCGGUGUGUCACACAGGUAAACUGGCAAGCGAAUGAUGAGGAGACUCCAGCCACCCCAAGAAGGGACAGCUUUGGUUGACACCCAGCAUGAGCUACGACACGUGAUCCAGAAGGAGCAUCGCAGGAGAAUUCACAACGCAAAACAGACUAGUUCAGCCCUCCCUCUUCCAAGUUUCCCUAAAGGCCACUCCUCUGAAGGACACACAGAAGCUGGGCUCUUUGGACGGGAGACCAUGGCAUCCAGUAUGAUGGAAGACGGGUGGACGUGGAGCUCAACAGGCCUGGCUGGUUUCCUGUGUGACUUUGAAGAAGGAUCCUCCUCUGGGCCUCAUGUGUCAACUAAGAGAUCACAGAACCUUCCUUGCUGGCUUCAGGGAUGACCAAACAGAUGCCCAUCAUCGUGGCUGGCCCAGGAAAUGAUGCCCCACCUUCCCCGGAAGGGAUUUAUUAUGUAGGAGAGGCUGAGCGUGCCAGGGCCACCUGGGGGAGGGGACUGAGGGUGGGCAUGGGGCUGUGGGUGGCAGUGACUCAGCCAGGUUGACAGGCAUCAUCAGGAGGCCGAGUCUCCAUACUGAGCUCCUGGGACGGGGCCACUUGGAUGAGCUGCUGUUUGCAAAGUCCUGGCCAAGCCUGUCACCUCUCCAGCUUCUCCACGUUCCCAGAAGCCACUGGCCCAGAGCCUCCGCGCAGCGCUUCCAGAACAGAGCAACCAAGCUCUGCCCCUGGCUGCUCAGGGGUCUGCGUGGGACUCGGGGGAGAGGGGGAAGUGGACACGGGGCGGGGAAUGGCGGGUCCCUAGAGGUGAGCAUGAGACCCUGCAGCCAAGCCAUGGAGAUCUGAGUCCUGGCACCGGAGGUCACCACCCAGAGAGCUGUCCCCUCCUGUGGGAUGGGGUGACGACUGGGAACUGAAUCUGUUGUGCACCGUGGAAAUACACAUGUGCACAACGUGGCCACUGUGCAAAGAAGGAAGAGGCCCUGUGGGGUAGGUGCGUUAGGGCAUCUCUCGAUUCUGCCUGUCCUCCAGGGAAGAGCCACGACCAGCCAGGAACAUGCACAUCACAGGGGGCCCGUAUGUCAACAAGACCUCUGACAGGCGCCCCCGUGCUCCUAGGGCCCCGCAAACACAGCAGGACACGACACCAGGCAGCGAGUGGGGAGAGAUGGAUGCCCAGGAGGCCGAGGCAGGAGGAUCCCAAGUUUGAGGCUAGCCUCGGCAACUCAGUUUGGCCCUAAGCAACUUGGUGAGACCCCGACUCAAAAUAAAAUAUAACAAAAGGGCUGAGGAGGCGGCUUA